Molecule: non-coding RNA, 106 nt
Rfam family: TPP riboswitch aptamer (THI element)
About the family: Vitamin B(1) in its active form thiamin pyrophosphate (TPP) is an essential coenzyme that is synthesised by coupling of pyrimidine and thiazole moieties in bacteria. The previously detected thiamin-regulatory element, thi box was extended, resulting in a new, highly conserved RNA secondary structure, the THI element, which is widely distributed in eubacteria and also occurs in some archaea.
GAAACACCACAGGGGAGCGCAAUGAGAUUGGCGCUGAGAGUGCGCAAGCAGACCCUUCGAACCUGAUCCGGUAAGCACCGGCGGAGGAAGUGAGGACAGACACCGA